AGGAUAAACGCUGGCGGCGUGCCUAAUGCAUGCAAGUCGAACGGGAGCGCCUUCGGGCGUCGACCGUGGCGGACGGGUGAGGAACACGUGGCUAACCUGCCCAGAUGUGGGGGAUACCCGCCGGAAACGGCGACUAAUACCGCAUGAGCUUGGUUGGGGGGACCUGACCAAGGAAAGGUCGCAAGACCGCGUUUGGAGGGGCGUGCGGCCGAAUUAGCUCGCUGGUGGGUAACGGCCUACCAGGGCGGUGAUCGGUAGCUGGUCUGAGAGGACGGCCAGCCACACGGGGACUGAGACACGGCCCCGAUCCUACGGGAGCAGCAGCAAGGAUUUC
RNAcentral lists this ribosomal RNA (334 nucleotides) under uncultured soil bacterium. RNAcentral describes it as "bacterial SSU rRNA". It matches the Rfam family "Bacterial small subunit ribosomal RNA", at positions 26 to 364 of the family's 1533-position model. The record is from RNAcentral.